GAUGAACGCUGGCGGCGUGCCUAAUACAUGCAAGUCGAGCGAACGGACGAGAAGCUUGCUUCUCUGAUGUUAGCGGCGGACGGGUGAGGAACACGUGGAUAACCUACCUAUAAGACUGGGAUAACUUCGGGAAACCGGAGCUAAUACCGGAUAAUAUUUUGAACCGCAUGGUUCAAAAGUGAAAGACGGUCUUGCUGUCACUUAUAGAUGGAUCCGCGCUGCAUUAGCUAGUUGGUAAGGUAACGGCUUACCAAGGCAACGAUGCAUAGCCGACCUGAGAGGGUGAUCGGCCACACUGGAACUGAGACACGGUCCAGACUCCUACGGGAGGCAGCAGUAGGGAAUCUUCCGCAAUGGGCGAAAGCCUGACGGAGCAACGCCGCGUGAGUGAUGAAGGUCUUCGGAUCGUAAAACUCUGUUAUUAGGGAAGAACAUAUGUGUAAGUAACUGUGCACAUCUUGACGGUACCUAAUCAGAAAGCCACGGCUAACUACGUG
This 497-nucleotide ribosomal RNA is filed under the name uncultured bacterium. RNAcentral's name for it is "partial 16S ribosomal RNA". It matches the Rfam family "Bacterial small subunit ribosomal RNA", at positions 28 to 507 of the family's 1533-position model. The record is from RNAcentral.